AUGAAUAAUUCUAUGUCUAAAUCAUAUUCUAAAAUGUCUUUUAAUUCUAGUUGUUUCAUGGUUUUAUCUAUCCAAAUUAAUCUUUCUUUUAAUUAUUUUCUUCCUCUUCUAAGAUGGUUUCUAUAAUUAAUUUCUUCGUAUAACCAACUUUGUUUUUCUCUAACUCUUUUAAUAUAUUCUAACAUUUAAUCUAUAUAAUAUCCAUCUGAGUAAUAAUUGUUAUUAUCUGAGUAAUAACUAUCUGAAUAAUAUAAGCUAAGAUCAUGCAUAUCUUUUAACCAUUCUAAACAUAACGAUUCUUCAUGAAAUAUUUUUUCCCAUAUUAUUUUCUUUAUGUCUUCUAUUUGUAAGUCUUUA
Molecule: long non-coding RNA, 357 nt
Filed under: Capsicum annuum
Lineage: Eukaryota; Viridiplantae; Streptophyta; Magnoliopsida; Solanales; Solanaceae
Description: long non-coding RNA (CANN_LNC021127)
Source: RNAcentral